CAGUAGCCGCGGUAAUACGUAGGGUGCAAGCGUUAAUCGGAAUUACUGGGCGUAAAGCGUGCGCAGGCGGUUAUAUAAGACAGAUGUGAAAUCCCCGGGCUCAACCUGGGAACUGCAUUUGUGACUGUAUAGCUAGAGUACGGCAGAGGGGGAUGGAAUUCCGCGUGUAGCAGUGAAAUGCGUAGAUAUGCGGAGGAACACCGAUGGCGAAGGCAAUCCCCUGGGCCUGUACUGUCGCUCAUGCACGAAAGCGUGGGGAGCAAACAGGAUUAGAUACCCGGGUAGUCCCUGUCUCUUAUAC
RNAcentral lists this ribosomal RNA (301 nucleotides) under uncultured bacterium. Its description in RNAcentral is "partial 16S ribosomal RNA". It matches the Rfam family "Bacterial small subunit ribosomal RNA", at positions 509 to 807 of the family's 1533-position model. The record is from RNAcentral.